Molecule: unclassified non-coding RNA, 343 nt
Filed under: soil metagenome
Description: partial contains 5.8S ribosomal RNA, internal transcribed spacer 2, and large subunit ribosomal RNA
Rfam family: 5.8S ribosomal RNA (bases 1-120)
Source: RNAcentral
GAUGAAGAACGCAGCGAAAUGCGAUAAGUAAUGUGAAUUGCAGAAUUCAGUGAAUCAUCGAAUCUUUGAACGCACAUUGCGCCCGCUAGUAUUCUGGCGGGCAUGCCUGUCCGAGCGUCAUUUCAACCCUCAAGCCCCCGGGCUUGGUGUUGGGGAUCGGCGAGCCUCUGCGCCCGCCGUCCCCUAAAUCUAGUGGCGGUCUCGCUGUAGCUUCCUCUGCGUAGUAGCACACCUCGCACUGGGAAACAGCGCGGCCACGCCGUUAAACCCCCAACUUCUGAACGUUUGACCUCGGAUCAGGUAGGAAUACCCGCUGAACUUAAGCAUAUCAAUAAGCGGAGGA